Molecule: small nucleolar RNA, 138 nt
Organism: Gorilla gorilla gorilla (western lowland gorilla)
Lineage: Eukaryota; Metazoa; Chordata; Mammalia; Primates; Hominidae
Gene: SNORA22B
Product: small nucleolar RNA, H/ACA box 22B
Source: Ensembl
UUGCACAGUGAACACUCAAGUGUGCUUUAUAGUUCCCUUGGCUUUGACCCUGUGCUAGAGCAUUCAUUACCUGUUCAUCUGCUCUGUGUUGAAAGGGAUAUUUGUCCUUUUAAAUGUAUUCAGAAAGCCAGCACAUUA